GACGAACGCUGGCGGCGUGCCUAAUACAUGCCAGUCGAGCGGAAUGAAGAAGAAGCUUGCUUCUUCUGAUUUUAGCGGCGGACGGGUGAGUAACACGUGGGCAACCUACCUUGUAGAUUGGGAUAACUCCGGGAAACCGGGGCUAAUACCGAAUAAUCCAUUUUGCUUCAUGGCGAGAUGUUAAAAGGCGGCUUCGGCUGUCACUACGAGAUGGGCCCGCGGCGCAUUAGCUAGUUGGUAGGGUAAUGGCCUACCAAGGCGACGAUGCGUAGCCGACCUGAGAGGGUGAUCGGCCACACUGGGACUGAGACACGGCCCAGACUCCUACGGGAGGCAGCAGUAGGGAAUCUUCCACAAUGGACGAAAGUCUGAUGGAGCAACGCCGCGUGAGUGAAGAAGGUUUUCGGAUCGUAAAACUCUGUUGUAAGGGAAGAACACGUACGAGAGUAACUGCUCGUACCUUGACGGUACCUUAUUAGAAAGCCACGGCUAACUACGUG
This 500-nucleotide ribosomal RNA is filed under the name uncultured bacterium. RNAcentral describes it as "bacterial SSU rRNA". It matches the Rfam family "Bacterial small subunit ribosomal RNA", at positions 28 to 507 of the family's 1533-position model. The record is from RNAcentral.